GAUGAACGCUGGCGGCGUGCUUAACACAUGCAAGUCGAACGAAGCACUUUAGUUGAUUUCCUUCGGGAAUGAUUAUUUUGUGACUGAGUGGCGGACGGGUGAGUAACGCGGGGGUAACCUGCCUUGUACAGGGUGACAACAGUUGGACACGGCUGCUAAUACCGCAUAAGCGCACAGCAUCGCAUGUAGCAGUGAGAAAAACACCGGUGGUAUAAGAUGGACCCGCGUUGGAUUAGCUAGUUGGUGAGGUAACGGCCCACCAAGGCGACGAUCCAUAGCCGAUCUGAGAGGAUGACCGGCCACAUUGGAACUGAGACACGGCCCAAACUCCUACGGGAGGCAGCAGUGGGGAAUAUUGCACAAUGGGCGAAAGCCUGAUGCAGCGACGCCGCGUGAACGAAGAAGUAUUUCGGUAUGUAAAGUUCUAUCAGAAGGGAAGAUAAUGACGGUACCUGACUAAAAAGCACCGGCUAAAUACGUG
RNAcentral lists this ribosomal RNA (481 nucleotides) under uncultured bacterium. RNAcentral describes it as "partial 16S ribosomal RNA". It matches the Rfam family "Bacterial small subunit ribosomal RNA", at positions 28 to 507 of the family's 1533-position model. The record is from RNAcentral.